UAACCAUGAUGAGGGCAAGCCCGUCUCAAGUCCUUGAACCUUUCCCAAGCUUCACUCAAUGUCUCACCAUUUCGGUUAGAGAAUGUAGCUAUUUGACGUUUUAGCUC
Non-coding RNA from Beta vulgaris subsp. vulgaris (sugar beet), 107 nucleotides. Lineage: Eukaryota; Viridiplantae; Streptophyta; Magnoliopsida; Caryophyllales; Amaranthaceae. The record is from Rfam.